RNAcentral lists this ribosomal RNA (700 nucleotides) under uncultured bacterium. RNAcentral describes it as "bacterial SSU rRNA". It matches the Rfam family "Bacterial small subunit ribosomal RNA", at positions 54 to 752 of the family's 1533-position model. The record is from RNAcentral.
CAUGCAGUCGAACGGUAACAGGUCUUCGGAUGCUGACGAGUGGCGAACGGGUGAGUAAUACAUCGGAACGUGCCCGAUCGUGGGGGAUAACGGAGCGAAAGCUUUGCUAAUACCGCAUACGAUCUACGGAUGAAAGCAGGGGACCGCAAGGCCUUGCGCGGACGGAGCGGCCGAUGGCAGAUUAGGUAGUUGGUGGGAUAAAAGCUUACCAAGCCGACGAUCUGUAGCUGGUCUGAGAGGACGACCAGCCACGCUGGGACUGAGACACGGCCCAGACUCCUACGGGAGGCAGCAGUGGGGAAUUUUGGACAAUGGGCGCAAGCCUGAUCCAGCCAUGCCGCGUGCAGGAUGAAGGCCUUCGGGUUGUAAACUGCUUUUGUACGGAACGAAAAGACUCUUUCUAAUAAAGAGGGUCCAUGACGGUACCGUAAGAAUAAGCACCGGCUAACUACGUGCCAGCAGCCGCGGUAAUACGUAGGGUGCGAGCGUUAAUCGGAAUUACUGGGCGUAUAGCGUGCGCAGGCGGUGAUGUAAGACAGAUGUGAAAUCCCCGGGCUCAACCUGGGAACUGCAUUUGUGACUGCAUCGCUGGAGUGCGGCAGAGGGGGAUGGAAUUCCGCGUGUAGCAGUGAAAUGCGUAGAUAUGCGGAGGAACACCGAUGGCGAAGGCAAUCCCCUGGGCCUGCACUGACGCUCAUGC